This 890-nucleotide ribosomal RNA is filed under the name uncultured Acinetobacter sp. Its description in RNAcentral is "bacterial SSU rRNA". It matches the Rfam family "Bacterial small subunit ribosomal RNA", at positions 33 to 916 of the family's 1533-position model. Lineage: Bacteria; Pseudomonadati; Pseudomonadota; Gammaproteobacteria; Moraxellales; Moraxellaceae. The record is from RNAcentral.
ACGCUGGCGCAGGCUUAACACAUGCAAGUCGAGCGGGGAAAAGUAGCUUGCUACUUAACUUAGCGGCGGACGGGUGAGUAAUACUUAGGAAUCUGCCUAUUAGUGGGGGACAACAUUUCGAAAGGAAUGCUAAUACCGCAUACGUCCUACGGGAGAAAGCAGGGGAUCACUUGUGACCUUGCGCUAAUAGAUGAGCCUAAGUCGGAUUAGCUAGUUGGUGGGGUAAAGGCCUACCAAGGCGACGAUCUGUAGCGGGUCUGAGAGGAUGAUCCGCCACACUGGGACUGAGACACGGCCCAGACUCCUACGGGAGGCAGCAGUGGGGAAUAUUGGACAAUGGGGGGAACCCUGAUCCAGCCAUGCCGCGUGUGUGAAGAAGGCCUUUUGGUUGUAAAGCACUUUAAGCGAGGAGGAGGCUACUCUAGUUAAUACCUAGGGAUAGUGGACGUUACUCGCAGAAUAAGCACCGGCUAACUCUGUGCCAGCAGCCGCGGUAAUACAGAGGGUGCGAGCGUUAAUCGGAUUUACUGGGCGUAAAGCGUGCGUAGGUGGCCAAUUAAGUCAAAUGUGAAAUCCCCGAGCUUAACUUGGGAAUUGCAUUCGAUACUGGUUGGCUAGAGUAUGGGAGAGGAUGGUAGAAUUCCAGGUGUAGCGGUGAAAUGCGUAGAGAUCUGGAGGAAUACCGAUGGCGAAGGCAGCCAUCUGGCCUAAUACUGACACUGAGGUACGAAAGCAUGGGGAGCAAACAGGAUUAGAUACCCUGGUAGUCCAUGCCGUAAACGAUGUCUACUAGCCGUUGGGGUCUUUGAGACUUUAGUGGCGCAGCUAACGCGAUAAGUAGACCCCCUGGGGAGUACGGUCGCAAGACUAAAACUCAAAUGAAUUGACGG